GAUGAACGCUGGCGGCGUGCCUAAUACAUGCAAGUCGAGCGAACAGAUGAGGAGCUUGCUCCUCUGACGUUAGCGGCGGACGGGUGAGUAACACGUGGAUAACCUACCUAUAAGACUGGGAUAACUUCGGGAAACCGGAGCUAAUACCGGAUAAUAUAUUGAACCGCAUGGUUCAAUAGUGAAAGACGGUUUUGCUGUCACUUAUAGAUGGAUCCGCGCCGCAUUAGCUAGUUGGUAAGGUAACGGCUUACCAAGGCAACGAUGCGUAGCCGACCUGAGAGGGUGAUCAGCCACACUGGAACUGAGACACGGUCCAGACUCCUACGGGAGGCAGCAGUAGGGAAUCUUGCGCAAUGGGCGAAAGCCUGACGGAGCAACGCCGCGUGAGUGAUGAAGGUCUUCGGAUCGUAAAACUCUGUUAUUAGGGAAGAACAAAUGUGUAAGUAACUAUGCACGUCUUGACGGUACCUAAUCAGAAAGCCACGGCUAACUACGUG
Molecule: ribosomal RNA, 497 nt
Filed under: uncultured bacterium
Lineage: Bacteria
Description: partial 16S ribosomal RNA
Rfam family: Bacterial small subunit ribosomal RNA
Source: RNAcentral